UACGUAGGGUGCAAGCGUGUCCGGAUUUAUUGGGCGUAAAGAGCUCGUAGGCGGUCUGUCGCGUCGGAUGUGAAAACCCAGGGCUCAACCCUGGGCCUGCAUUCGAUACGGGCAGACUAGAGUGUGGCAGGGGAGACUGGAAUUCCUGGUGUAGCGGUGAAAUGCGCAGAUAUCAGGAGGAACACCGGUGGCGAAGGCGGGUCUCUGGGGCCAAUACUGACGUGAGGAGCGAAAGCGUGGGGAGC
This 245-nucleotide ribosomal RNA is filed under the name uncultured bacterium. Its description in RNAcentral is "partial 16S ribosomal RNA". It matches the Rfam family "Bacterial small subunit ribosomal RNA", at positions 524 to 769 of the family's 1533-position model. The record is from RNAcentral.